CUAUGCUAAGCUCUUUUAGAAUUUGUCUAGCAGGCCUUCUGGCGCUGGCUGGGAAGAUCCCUA
Molecule: small nuclear RNA, 63 nt
Filed under: Ornithorhynchus anatinus (platypus)
Lineage: Eukaryota; Metazoa; Chordata; Mammalia; Monotremata; Ornithorhynchidae
Description: U7 small nuclear RNA (ENSOANG00000028078.2)
Rfam family: U7 small nuclear RNA
About the family: Animal histone pre-mRNAs are spliced by a different mechanism than nuclear pre-mRNAs and self-splicing introns. This processing involves the U7 snRNP, which contains only one RNA species: U7.
Source: Rfam by way of RNAcentral